GCAUGAAGUCGGAAUUGCUAGUAAUCGCAGAUCAGCAUGCUGCGGUGAAUACGUUCCCGGGCCUUGUACACACCGCCCGUCACACCAUGGGAGUCGGUAACACCCGAAGUCGGUAGCCUAACCGUAAGGAGGGCGCCGCCGAAGGUGGGAUUGAUGACUGGGGUGAAGUCGUAACAAGGUACC
Molecule: ribosomal RNA, 183 nt
Filed under: uncultured bacterium
Lineage: Bacteria
Description: partial 16S ribosomal RNA
Rfam family: Bacterial small subunit ribosomal RNA
Source: RNAcentral